AGAAUGAACGUUGGCGGCAUGGAUUAGGCAUGCAAGUCGUGCGCGAAACGUAGCAAUACGUGGAGAGCGGCGAAAGGGAGAGGAAUACGUGGGAACCUACCUUCGGGCCUGGAAUAGCGGCGGGAAACUGCCGGUAAUGCCAGAUAACGUCCCCGGACCAAAGGUGUGAUUCCGCCUGGAGAUGGGCCCACGUCCUAUCAGCUAGUUGGCGAGGUAAAAGCUCACCAAGGCUAAGACGGUAUGGGUGUGAGAGCAUGCCCCCACUCACUGGGACUGAGACACUGCCCAGACACCCACGGGUGCUGCAGUCGAGAAUCUUCGGCAAUGAGCGCAAGCUUGACCGAGCGAUGCCGCGUGCGGGAUGAACGGCCCGUCGGGUUAGUAAACCGCUGGUCGGUAGGGAGUAACGGUCGAGGGUUCCUCCCUCUGAUUGAACAAUCCGUAAGGAGGAAGGCGGACGUAAGUUCGUCGACCG
Molecule: ribosomal RNA, 475 nt
Filed under: uncultured soil bacterium
Lineage: Bacteria
Description: bacterial SSU rRNA
Rfam family: Bacterial small subunit ribosomal RNA
Source: RNAcentral